This 587-nucleotide long non-coding RNA is filed under the name Homo sapiens (human). Its description in RNAcentral is "non-protein coding lnc-ASTE1-1:7". Lineage: Eukaryota; Metazoa; Chordata; Mammalia; Primates; Hominidae. The record is from RNAcentral.
AAUCCACCUCUGCAUGUGAUCAUCUGCAUUUGACUCCUUGAACUAUGGCAGCCAGCUGGAGCCAUGAAGUAAGCCACCCUAACAUGAGUGGCAGAAACAUGGAGAGACAGGGUUUCACCAUAAUGGCCAGGCUGCUCUCCACCUCCUGGGCUCAAGCGAUCCACCCACCUCAGCCUCCCAAAAUGUUGGGAUUGCAGAUAUGAGCCAUAGUUCCCCUCCAUCAGCCCAAAUGUCAGUUCCUGGAGUACAAAGGCGGUGGCUGCUUCAGAUGCUUCAGACUGAAACUGCUCUUUGCCAUUCUCAUGGACACUGGAGAGUUAAGUUUGGUUAAAUUGAUGCCUUUUUCUUUUAAAAAAGAAAGAAUACACAUAUACCUUUGUGUACACACAAGCUAGGAAACAUCAAUCUAAUACAUGGAUGGCAAGAAAAACCAGAUCUGGCUCAUGCCAGUUACAAUGGUCUGUGAAGAUAAAAAGAUUUCUUCAGAUUUAUUUCUCAGCCAAUUUCUGCUUUUCCUAGGGAGAAAUUAAAAGUUUGUUAAAUACCUAUGUUUAGCCUUUUAUUAAUUUAGCCGGUGAAAUUAAAAG